UUACUUACAAAUGAAAACUUGCCGGCUCUCCAAACCCUUACUAGUGCCAAUGAACUUUCUUGAAGAGCAAUAUGUAACAUUUCUCUUUUUAAUAAAACCUCUGAACUUCUCUUUGUUCUUUAGACAUACUGAAGACCACCUGGCCUAUGUAUGUAUCUCAAAUUGCAAAUCUUUUUCCAAAUAAAACAUUAAAUUUAGAGAUUCAGCUCUAGAUUUUUGACUUUGACAAUCUUCCUCCUCAUCCUCAUUUUGUUGAUGGCCAUCCUAGUGGCCGCCAUUCUUCUCUUCCUGCUCCUCUUCCUCAUCAUCUUUUUCUGAUAGCUGACCCUUUGGUUGGAGUCUUAGGAUACUACUAUAAAUAAUACAUCUUUCAGAAGUUC
Long non-coding RNA from Sapajus apella (tufted capuchin), 380 nucleotides. RefSeq lists it as uncharacterized. The record is from RefSeq and is a predicted model, not a curated record. Lineage: Eukaryota; Metazoa; Chordata; Mammalia; Primates; Cebidae. The transcript is spliced from 3 exons.